This 497-nucleotide ribosomal RNA is filed under the name uncultured bacterium. Its description in RNAcentral is "partial 16S ribosomal RNA". It matches the Rfam family "Bacterial small subunit ribosomal RNA", at positions 28 to 507 of the family's 1533-position model. The record is from RNAcentral.
GAUGAACGCUGGCGGCGUGCCUAAUACAUGCAAGUCGAGCGAACAGACGAGGAGCUUGCUCCUCUGACGUUAGCGGCGGACGGGUGAGUAACACGUGGAUAACCUACCUAUAAGACUGGGAUAACUUCGGGAAACCGGAGCUAAUACCGGAUAAUAUAUUGAACCGCAUGGUUCAAUAGUGAAAGACGGUUUUGCUGUCACUUAUAGAUGGAUCCGCGCCGCAUUAGCUAGUUGGUAAGGUAACGGCUUACCAAGGCAACGAUGCGUAGCCGACGUGAGAGGCUGAUCGGCCGCACUGGAACUGGAACACGGUCCAGACUCCUACGGGAGGCAGCAGUAGGGAAUCUUCCGCAAUGGGCGAAAGCUUGACGGAGCAACGCCGCGUGAGUGAUGAAGGUCUUCGGAUCGUAAAACUCUGUUAUUAGGGAAGAACAAAUGUGUAAGUAACUAUGCACGUCUUGACGGUACCUAAUCAGAAAGCCACGGCUAACUACGUG